GACGAACGCUGGCGGCGUGCUUAACACAUGCAAGUCGAACGGAAAGGCCCUGCUUUUGUGGGGUGCACGAGUGGCGAACGGGUGAGUAAAACGUGAGUAACCUGCCCUUGACUUUGGGAUAACUUCAGGAAACUGGGGCUAAUACCGGAUAGGAGAUCCUGCUGCAUGGUGGGGGUUGGAAAGUUUCGGCGGUUGGGGAUGGACUAGCGGCUUAUCAGCUUGUUGGUGGGGUAGUGGAGUACCAAGGGUUUGAAGGGUAGCCGGCCUGAGAGGGUGAACGGCGUCAUGGGGACUGCGAGAGGGCCCAGACUCCUACGGGAGGCAGCAGGGGGGAAUAUGGCACAGUGGGCGGAAGCCAGAUGCAGCAACGCCGCGUGCGUGAUGACGUCCUUCGGGUUGUGAACCGCUUUCGCCGUUAACGAAGCGUUAUUGACGGUAAUGGGUAAAGAAGCACCGGCUAACUACGUG
Molecule: ribosomal RNA, 468 nt
Filed under: uncultured bacterium
Lineage: Bacteria
Description: partial 16S ribosomal RNA
Rfam family: Bacterial small subunit ribosomal RNA
Source: RNAcentral